AGGUUAUCAAUGCAUAUCUGUCCCUGCUUAUUAAAAAAUAUAAUGACAACAACGCAGACAGGGCAUGUGCCGUGGACACUUUUGAAAUGACCCGCAUUUGGGAUGGACUGAAACCCAAAGUAAAGAUAGUCCCACAGCUAUACAAGUUAAUCGUGGGCAUUGUCAAUGCGGGUCACCAUUGGAUGCUGGUGGUGAUCUUGCCAGGAGACAAAAAAACUGUUUUUCUAGAUCCACUGGGUGAAAGAAAAACCUCAAUAAACCACUGCAAGGAUGUUACAAGGUAAUUUUGUAUUAAUUCAUCUUUAUUUAUUAGAGUGAAGUG
Molecule: long non-coding RNA, 322 nt
Organism: Cyprinodon variegatus (sheepshead minnow)
Lineage: Eukaryota; Metazoa; Chordata; Actinopteri; Cyprinodontiformes; Cyprinodontidae
Exons: 3
Source: RefSeq, a predicted model, not a curated record